CAUCCUCUGACCGCAUAUGAAAGUAUGUUUUCUGGCUUCGGUCAGACAGAGAGACAGGUGGUGCAUGGUUGUCGUCAGCUCGUGUCGUGAGAUGUUGGGUUAAGUCCCGCAACGAGCGCAACCCCUACGUUUAGUUGCUAACGUGUAACGAUGAGCACUCUAGGCGGACUGCCGUUGACAAAACGGAGGAAGGUGGGGAUGACGUCAAAUCAUCAUGCCCCUUAUGUUCUGGGCUACACACGUGCUACAAUGGCCGGUACAAAGAGACGCAAAGCCGCGAGGUGGAGCAAAUCCGAUAAAAGCCGGUCUCAGUUCGGAUUGCAGGCUGCAAUUCGCCUGCAUGAAGUCGGAAUCGCUAGUAAUCGCAGGUCAGCAUACUGCGGUGAAUACGUUCCCGGGCCUU
This 403-nucleotide ribosomal RNA is filed under the name uncultured Cryptanaerobacter sp. RNAcentral describes it as "bacterial SSU rRNA". It matches the Rfam family "Bacterial small subunit ribosomal RNA", at positions 985 to 1382 of the family's 1533-position model. The record is from RNAcentral. Lineage: Bacteria; Bacillati; Bacillota; Clostridia; Eubacteriales; Desulfotomaculaceae.